Non-coding RNA from Arachis ipaensis, 219 nucleotides. The record is from RefSeq and is a predicted model, not a curated record. NCBI's taxonomy places the organism in Eukaryota, Viridiplantae, Streptophyta, Magnoliopsida, Fabales, Fabaceae.
GUUGACUCAUGAUACUUUCAUUUCUACACAGGUCUGCAGAGAAUGCGGUUUGUUAGGAUAUUACAACCAUAAGCUGAAAACUGGCAUUUGUUCAUCUUGUAAAAAUGGAGAUAAGAUUUCUACCAUGAAGCUACCAUAUGCAUGCAAGCUCUUGAUUCAGGAACUCCAAUCAAUGAAUAUUGUUCCUCGCUUGAAAUUGGCAGAAGCGUAAAGUCUUUU